This 497-nucleotide ribosomal RNA is filed under the name uncultured bacterium. RNAcentral describes it as "partial 16S ribosomal RNA". It matches the Rfam family "Bacterial small subunit ribosomal RNA", at positions 28 to 507 of the family's 1533-position model. The record is from RNAcentral.
GAUGAACGCUGGCGGCGUGCCUAAUACAUGCAGGUCGAGCGAACAGACGAGGAGCUUGCUCCUCUGACGUUAGCGGCGGACGGGUGAGUAACACGUGGAUAACCUACCUAUAAGACUGGGAUAACUUCGGGAAACCGGAGCUAAUACCGGAUAAUAUAUUGAACCGCAUGGUUCAAUAGUGAAAGACGGUUUUGCUGUCACUUAUAGAUGGAUCCGCGCCGCAUUAGCUAGUUGGUAAGGUAACGGCUUACCAAGGCAACGAUGCGUAGCCGACCUGAGAGGGUGAUCGGCCACACUGGAACUGAGACACGGUCCAGACUCCUACGGGAGGCAGCAGUAGGGAAUCUUCCGCCAUGGGCGAAAGCUUGACGGAGCAACGCCGCGUGAGUGAUGAAGGUCUUCGGAUCGUAAAACUCUGUUAUUAGGGAAGAACAAAUGUGUAAGUAACUAUGCACGUCUUGACGGUACCUAAUCAGAAAGCCACGGCUAACUACGUG